GUUUAAAUAGCUUAAACUAAAGCGAGGCAUUGAAGCGGCUUAGAUGAUCUAUAUCUUUAAAUA
RNAcentral lists this transfer RNA (63 nucleotides) under Thyropygus sp. DVL-2001. RNAcentral describes it as "tRNA-Phe". Lineage: Eukaryota; Metazoa; Arthropoda; Diplopoda; Spirostreptida; Harpagophoridae. The record is from RNAcentral.